Molecule: ribosomal RNA, 237 nt
Filed under: uncultured bacterium
Lineage: Bacteria
Description: partial 16S ribosomal RNA
Rfam family: Bacterial small subunit ribosomal RNA
Source: RNAcentral
GUUGUCCGGAAUCAUUGGGCGUAAAGCGCGUGUAGGCGGUCCGGUAAGUCCGCUGUGAAAGUCGGGGGCUUAACCCUCGGAUGCCGGUGGAUACUGUCGGGCUUGAGUACGGAAGAGGCGAGUGGAAUUCCUGGUGUAGCGGUGAAAUGCGCAGAUAUCCGGAGGAACACCGGUGGCGAAGGCGGCUUACUGGACCGACACUGACGCUGAGGAGCGAAGGCCAGGGGAGCAAACGGG